UUUCAAAAACUAAAACCCCAUCAUCUCUAAUGAAGUUUUUAUGAACCUUAGCUAAAAUUAAAACCUCAUCUUUUGCUAUAACUUAAAAUUUUUUAAAAAUGGUGAAAUGAGAGAUACAGUAUACCACACAACACGAAAUUCGUUUUCAUUCCCUUACUGACCAGAUCUACAACUUUCACCGGAUUAGGGUUAUGGUCAGAACCCUAGAUAGGGCUACCAGAAUCUGGUCGAAACUCUAAACCCUAGGUUGGGUCACCAGAAUCUGUUGACGCUAACCAUUACCACCACAAGCCGCAGACCACCACCAUCUCUAUCGUUGCUAACCACCACCAAUUAAAACAACAGCUUGCAUCAUCUUCAACUCCUGUAACAAAACAAAUGGUACGGAUUUCAUAUUUACAGAUCCAAACAAUAAUUACCUCAACGAAAUCGGUUCAUAUCAAAAGUUUGAAACCUAGAUCUACAAUAUAAAAUUCCAAUGAAUUUGGACAAAAUCCAGAAAAGCACUUACUCCGUGAAGUUCAAAACCUAGACUUGAGUUUGAUUCCAAUGAUUUCCAUGAGGAAUUGGAGUAGUAGAAACGUGAUGGAGAAAAACCCUAGAUCCAGAUCUGGAAUCGCCGGAGAGAGAGAGGAGCAGGGAAGCGGGCAUUUUGAAAUUUGA
RNAcentral lists this long non-coding RNA (663 nucleotides) under Helianthus annuus (common sunflower). Its description in RNAcentral is "sRNA HanXRQr2_Chr06g0271001". Lineage: Eukaryota; Viridiplantae; Streptophyta; Magnoliopsida; Asterales; Asteraceae. The record is from RNAcentral.